Molecule: ribosomal RNA, 468 nt
Filed under: uncultured bacterium
Lineage: Bacteria
Description: partial 16S ribosomal RNA
Rfam family: Bacterial small subunit ribosomal RNA
Source: RNAcentral
GACGAACGCUGGCGGCGGGCUUAACACAUGCAAGUCGAACGGAAAGGCCCUGCUUGUGUGGGGUGCUCGAGUGGCGAACGGGUGAGUAACACGUGAGUAACCUGCCCUGGACUUUGGGAUAACUGCAGGAAACUGGGGCUAAUACCGGAUAGGAGCUCCUGCUGCAGGGGGGGGGUUGGAAAGUUUCGGCGGUUGGGGAUGGACUCGCGGCUUAUCAGCUUGUUGGUGGGGUAGUGGCUUACCAAGGCUUUGACGGGUGGCCGGCCUGAGAGGGUGACCGGCCACAUUGGGACUGCGAUACGGCCCAGACUCCUACGGGAGGCAGCAGUGGGGAAUAUUGCACAAUGGGCGGAAGCCUGAUGCAGCAACGCCGCGUGCGGGAUGACGGCCUUCGGGUUGUAAACCGCUUUCGCCUGUGACGAAGCGUGAGUGACGGUAAUGGGUAAAGAAGCACCGGCUAACUACGUG